UCUGAAGAUGUGCUGUGCUCUGUGGGGA
This 28-nucleotide non-coding RNA is filed under the name Mus musculus (house mouse). The record is from RNAcentral. Lineage: Eukaryota; Metazoa; Chordata; Mammalia; Rodentia; Muridae.